GGGCCUAUAGCUCAAUUUGGUUAGAGCAGAGAACUCAUAAUUCUAAGGUUACGUGUUCGAGUCACGUUGGGCCCACCA
RNAcentral lists this transfer RNA (78 nucleotides) under Ralstonia phage RP13. Its description in RNAcentral is "tRNA-Met". It matches the Rfam family "tRNA". Rfam says of the family: Transfer RNA (tRNA) molecules are approximately 80 nucleotides in length. Their secondary structure includes four short double-helical elements and three loops (D, anti-codon, and T loops). Lineage: Duplodnaviria; Heunggongvirae; Uroviricota; Caudoviricetes. The record is from RNAcentral.